UAGGUAGGUAGGUAGGUAGGUAGA
This 24-nucleotide non-coding RNA is filed under the name Cricetulus griseus (Chinese hamster). The record is from RNAcentral. Lineage: Eukaryota; Metazoa; Chordata; Mammalia; Rodentia; Cricetidae.